UACGAAGGGUGCAAACGUUGCUCGGAAUUAUUGGGCGUAAAGAGCUUGUAGGCGGUUUGUCGCGUCUGCUGUGAAAUUUCGGGGCUCAACCCCGAACUUGCAGUGGGUACGGGCAGGCUAGAGUGUGGUAGGGGAGACUGGAAUUCCUGGUGUAGCGGUGAAAUGCGCAGAUAUCAGGAGGAACACCGAUGGCGAAGGCAGGUCUCUGGGCCACUACUGACGCUGAGAAGCGAAAGCAUGGGGAGCGAACAGG
This 253-nucleotide ribosomal RNA is filed under the name uncultured bacterium. RNAcentral's name for it is "partial 16S ribosomal RNA". It matches the Rfam family "Bacterial small subunit ribosomal RNA", at positions 524 to 776 of the family's 1533-position model. The record is from RNAcentral.